CCUACGGGGGGCAGCAGUAGGGAAUAUUGCUCAAUGGGGGAAACCCUGAAGCAGCAACGCCGCGUGGAGGAUGAAGGUUUUCGGAUUGUAAACCCCUUUUGUUAGAGAAGAUAAUGACGGUAUCUAACGAAUAAGCACCGGCUAACUCCGUGCCAGCAGCCGCGGUAAUACGGAGGGUGCAAGCGUUACUCGGAAUCACUGGGCGUAAAGAGCGCGUAGGCGGGAUAGCAAGUCAGAUGUGAAAUCCUAUGGCUUAACCAUAGAACUGCAUUUGAAACUGUUAUUCUAGAGUAUGGGAGAGGUAGGUGGAAUUCUUGGUGUAGGGGUAAAAUGCGUAGAGAUCAAGAAGAAUACUCAUUGCGAAGGCGACCUGCUAGAACAUAACUGACGCUGAUGCGCGAAAGCGUGGGGAGCAAACAGGAGUAGAUACCCUAGUAGUC
This 440-nucleotide ribosomal RNA is filed under the name uncultured bacterium. RNAcentral's name for it is "partial 16S ribosomal RNA". It matches the Rfam family "Bacterial small subunit ribosomal RNA", at positions 338 to 795 of the family's 1533-position model. The record is from RNAcentral.